This 126-nucleotide long non-coding RNA is filed under the name Ficedula albicollis (Collared flycatcher). RNAcentral describes it as "lncRNA (ENSFALG00000028210.1)". Lineage: Eukaryota; Metazoa; Chordata; Aves; Passeriformes; Muscicapidae. The record is from RNAcentral.
GAGGAAAAUGGGGAGUGCAGGGCUGGAAAAAGGGGAAAAAAAAGGAUUUUUAAAGCUGAGAAAAAGGGAGAAUGCAGGGCUGGAAAAGAGAUUUUUAAAGCUGAGGAAAAGGGAAAAAAGGGAUUU